GGGCGAGUGGCGGAACUGGUAGACGCGCUAGACUCAAAAUCUUGUGACCGCAAGGUCGUAAGGGUUCAAGUCCCUUCUCGCCCACCA
RNAcentral lists this transfer RNA (87 nucleotides) under Candidatus Saccharimonadota bacterium. RNAcentral describes it as "tRNA-Leu". It matches the Rfam family "tRNA". Rfam says of the family: Transfer RNA (tRNA) molecules are approximately 80 nucleotides in length. Their secondary structure includes four short double-helical elements and three loops (D, anti-codon, and T loops). Lineage: Bacteria; Candidatus Saccharimonadota. The record is from RNAcentral.